UGAGGAAUAUUGGUCAAUGGACGCAAGUCUGAACCAGCCAAGUAGCGUGCAGGAUGACGGCCCUCCGGGUUGUAAACUGCUUUUAGUUGGGAAUAAAAAGAGGGACGUGUCCCUCAUUGUAUGUACCUUCAGAAAAAGGACCGGCUAAUUCCGUGCCAGCAGCCGCGGUAAUACGGAAGGUCCAGGCGUUAUCCGGAUUUAUUGGGUUUAAAGGGAGCGUAGGCGGAUUAUUAAGUCAGUGGUGAAAGACGGUGGCUCAACCAUCGUUAGCCAUUGAAACUGGUAGUCUUGAGUGCAGACAGGGAUGCUGGAACUCGUGGUGUAGCGGUGAAAUGCUUAGAUAUCACGAUGAACUCCGAUCGCGAAGGCAGGUGUCCGGGCUGCAACUGACGCUGAGGCUCGAAAGUGUGGGUAUCAAACAGG
RNAcentral lists this ribosomal RNA (423 nucleotides) under bacterium. Its description in RNAcentral is "partial 16S ribosomal RNA". It matches the Rfam family "Bacterial small subunit ribosomal RNA", at positions 355 to 776 of the family's 1533-position model. The record is from RNAcentral.